This 614-nucleotide long non-coding RNA is filed under the name Helianthus annuus (common sunflower). RNAcentral describes it as "sRNA HanXRQr2_Chr14g0627471". The record is from RNAcentral. Lineage: Eukaryota; Viridiplantae; Streptophyta; Magnoliopsida; Asterales; Asteraceae.
GGACCGGUAUGAAAUACGCGUUACAGGAAAUUAAGUAUGGAUCUGGCGGGCGUUGGAAUUUCAAGUCAUGAUUAAGUAUAAAGAUGUCAUCCAUGGUUUUUAGGUUUGGCCAGUGUGUCUUAAUCCUGGACGAGACACGUCUUCCAAACUUGGAUUACAACUAUUAUCUUUGACGAGUCCUUAGCAAACUUUUACACAAUUCAUCUGGUUUGUAAAACUUAAAUUUUGAAGUCUACGUUUUAGACAAUGUUGUUAUGUUUUAAACUCAUUUUAUGGAUGACAAAUCUUUGGUAUUAUCAUAUAGAUUGUUUGAUAUGGUUGAAUGCAAUGAUAACAAGUAAGUCACCCCAUAAUCACGCUUCCGCAAAAGUCAGGGUGUGACAGCUUGGUAUCAGAGCUUCGAUCGUAGCGAACUAGGAUUCAUUCUCGAGUCUAGACUACGAUCAAUAGGGCUCUCACGAAAACGCUUUUACAAACAUGUUUUCAUUGCAUACACAAAACGCCCAGAUCCAGGGAACAAACAUUUUUACAAACAAAAGGCACAAAUACACAUUCCAAAAUAUAUGUUUAUAAUUCAGUCUUAGAGACUGAGGGAUUCAAUCUUAGAGAUUGAG